RNAcentral lists this ribosomal RNA (815 nucleotides) under uncultured bacterium. RNAcentral describes it as "bacterial SSU rRNA". It matches the Rfam family "Bacterial small subunit ribosomal RNA", at positions 8 to 796 of the family's 1533-position model. The record is from RNAcentral.
AGAGUUUGAUCCUGGCUCAGAACGAACGCUGGCGGCGUGGAUAAGACAUGCAAGUCGAGCGCUAAUUACAGGGUAGCAAUAUCUUGUAGUUGGAGCGGCGCAAGGGUGCGUAACACGUGGGUAAUCUGCCAUGAAGUUCGGGAUAACUCGCUGAAAGGCGAGCUAAUACCGAAUGUGAAAAUUAGGAGGCAUCUUCCGAUUUUCAAAGCUGGGGACCGUAAGGCCUGGCGCUUCAUGAUGAGCCCGCGGCCUAUCAGCUAGUUGGUGAGGUAACGGCUCACCAAGGCUAAGACGGGUAGCUGGUCUGAGAGGACGACCAGCCACACUGGAACUGAGACGCGGUCCAGACACCUACGGGUGGCAGCAGUCGAGAAUUUUUCACAAUGGGGGAAACCCUGAUGGAGCGACGCCGCGUGGGGGAUGAAUGGCUUCGGCCCGUAAACCCCUGUCAUUUGCGAACAAAUUGGUUCACUUAAUACCUGAACCAUUGAUAGUAGCGGAAGAGGAAGGGGCGGCUAACUCUGUGCCAGCAGCCGCGGUAAUACAGAGGUCCCAAGCGUUGUUCGGAUUCACUGGGCGUAAAGGGUGCGUAGGCGGUCAGGUAAGUCUGAUGUGAAAUCUCUGGGCUUAACCCAGAAAUGGCAUUGGAUACUAUUUGGCUUGAGAGUUGGAGGGGGGACUGGGAUUCUUGGUGUAGCAGUGAAAUGCGUAGAUAUCAAGAGGAACACCAGUGGCGAAGGCGAGUCCCUGGACAACUUCUGACGCUGAGGCACGAAAGCUAGGGGAGCAAACAGGAUUAGAUACCCUCGUAGUCC